This 492-nucleotide ribosomal RNA is filed under the name uncultured bacterium. Its description in RNAcentral is "partial 16S ribosomal RNA". It matches the Rfam family "Bacterial small subunit ribosomal RNA", at positions 29 to 507 of the family's 1533-position model. The record is from RNAcentral.
AGUGAACGCUGGUGGUAGGCCUAACACAUGCAAGUCGAACGGCAGCACAGUAAGAGCUUGCUCUUACGGGUGGCGAGUGGCGGACGGGUGAGGAAUACAUCGGAAUCUACUUUUUCGUGGGGGAUAACGUAGGGAAACUUACGCUAAUACCGCAUACGACCUACGGGUGAAAGCAGGGGAUCUUCGGACCUUGCGCGAUUGAAUGAGCCGAUGUCGGAUUAGCUAGUUGGCGGGGUAAAGGCCCACCAAGGCGACGAUCCGUAGCUGGUCUGAGAGGAUGAUCAGCCACACUGGAACUGAGACACGGUCCAGACUCCUACGGGAGGCAGCAGUGGGGAAUAUUGGACAAUGGGCGCAAGCCUGAUCCAGCCAUACCGCGUGGGUGAAGGAGGCCUUCGGGUUGUAAAGCCCUUUUGUUGGGAAAGAAAAGCAGCAGGUUAAUACCCCGCUGUUCUGACGGUACCCAAAGAAUAAGCACCGGCUAACUUCGUG